Molecule: ribosomal RNA, 279 nt
Filed under: uncultured bacterium
Lineage: Bacteria
Description: partial 16S ribosomal RNA
Rfam family: Bacterial small subunit ribosomal RNA
Source: RNAcentral
UGCCAGCCGCCGCGGUAAUACGGAGGUCCCAAGCGUUGUUCGGAUUUACUGGGCGUAAAGGGUGCGUAGGUGGCCAGGAAAGUUUGAUGUGAAAGCUCCGAGCUCAACUCGGAAAAUGCAUUGAAUACUACUUGGCUUGAGGAUCGGAGGGGAGACUGGAAUUCUCGGUGUAGCAGUGAAAUGCGUAGAUAUCGAGAGGAACACCAGUGGCGAAGGCGAGUCUCUGGACGAUUCCUGACACUGAGGCACGAAAGCUAGGGGAGCAAACAGGAUUAGAUA